AACGAGGCCGACCUGCGGCUGAGUUACCUGCGGAGGGAUCAUUACACAAUACAAUAUGAAGGCUGUCCGCAGCUGGAGUAUUUUAUUACCCUUGUCUUUUGCGCACUUGUUGUUUCCUGGGCGGGUUCGCUCGCCACCAGGACCACCAAAUAAACCUUUUUUAUGCAGUUGCAAUCAGCGUCAGUACAAACAAUGUAAAUCAUUUACAACUUUCAGCAACGGAUCUCAGAUCGGAAGAGC
This 240-nucleotide unclassified non-coding RNA is filed under the name soil metagenome. Its description in RNAcentral is "partial contains 5.8S ribosomal RNA, internal transcribed spacer 2, and large subunit ribosomal RNA". The record is from RNAcentral.